Molecule: ribosomal RNA, 498 nt
Filed under: uncultured bacterium
Lineage: Bacteria
Description: partial 16S ribosomal RNA
Rfam family: Bacterial small subunit ribosomal RNA
Source: RNAcentral
AUUGAACGCUGGCGGCAUGCUUUACACAUGCAAGUCGAACGGUAACAGGCCGCAAGGUGCUGACGAGUGGCGAACGGGUGAGUAAUGCAUCGGAACGUGCCCAGUCGUGGGGGAUAACGCGGCGAAAGCUGCGCUAAUACCGCAUACGAUCUAUGGAUGAAAGCGGGGGACCGUAAGGCCUCGCGCGAUUGGAGCGGCCGAUGUCAGAUUAGGUAGUUGGUGGGGUAAAGGCGCACCAAGCCAACGAUCUGUAGCUGGUCUGAGAGGACGACCAGCCACACUGGGACUGAGGCACGGCCCAGACUCCUACGGGAGGCAGCAGUGGGGAAUUUUGGACAAUGGGCGCAAGCCUGAUCCAGCAAUGCCGCGUGCAGGAAGAAGGCCUUCGGGUUGUGAACUGCUUUUGUACGGAACGAAACGGCUCUGGUUAAUACCUGGGGCUAAUGACGGUACCGUAAGAAUAAGCACCGGUUAACUACGUGCCAGCCGCCGCCGUAA